CCAUUUCUCAUUCAUAUGGCCGGCCAAAGAAGAACAAAGGAGGAAAGGAAAAAAACAAGAACCCUAGGUAGGAAAAUUGAAGCAAAAGUGUGGGAUUUCAAGGGAUUAAGCUAAUAAAGGUAAAAUUUCUUGAUUUUGACUUGUGAUUUACACUACCCAUGCUUUCUUUUUCAUUUUCCAUGGUUAGAUUUCAUGUUUUCAUGGUGAAUUCAUGGCUGGUCAAAAUGGGUAUGGAGAGAGAAAGAUGUUAGAUUGAUUUGAUUUUAAGUUAUGUUAGUGUUUUUAGUUAGUUUAGCAUAUUUAGAAACAAAACAACAAGAAAAGAAUUCAUUUUUCCCAUCAACCAUCAAUGGCCGAAUUUUCUAGGGAGGAUAUUGUGGCUGAAAUUGAUGAUAUUUCAUGAUAUUUUGGUGUUAUUUGAUGUUUGGUGAGGCUAAAAAUUAAAUGGAAAAUUUUGGUGUGAAAAUCUGAAUUUUUACCUGAUGUAUAGACAUGUGUGAUUAUUGAUCCAGGACUAAUAAAUUGAAUCUCAUUCACAGUUACUGAGGUAAUUUAGGUAUAAUUGGAGUGUAGAAAGUGAAAGAAAUUGAUUUGGAGUUAAAUUGGAGGUUUUAGCCAAUUACACCGAGAAUAGUGCGAAUUAGGUCGAUUACCAUAUUUAAACAGCUAUUCGGACAUUUUGCAUUCCAUCGCAUGCAUUCAUUUAGAUUUAGAAAGGCUGAAAUAGUUUAUGAUAAAUUGACAUAAUUUAUUGAAAUUCGUGUCACGUAUAAUGUAUAGGUGGUGAGCCCUCUAAUAAAGGUAAAGAGAUUGUGCCCGAAGACCGAAAAUAAGAGUAUAUCGAACUCCUAGUACUGUGAGUAACCUUAUCAUUAUUUUAAUUAUCUAAAGUAUGUUUUAACUCGGUUUUGGUGAAAUUUUAUGAAAAUGAGUUAAAUGGCAAAUUUUAGGUUUUAUAAACAGAAAUGUGUUUAAAUGAAAAGAUUUUAUAAAUUGUCUUGAAACGAAAUAACGAUUUUGAAAAUAGAGUAAUUGGAGACCACCAGUAUGUUGUAAAUUUAUGAUUGGAAAUUGAUGGCUUAUGUUAUAUUGUUAUUGUGUUGGCAUGACUGGAUGGGCUGUAUUUUAUGAAUUGUAUAAAUUGUUUUAUUUUACCCUUGCAAGCUGGGUAGUAAUAUAUUAGCCUUAUCAUGUUGUCAAAAUUUUAUUAUAUGGUGAGUUUAGCUUACUGCAGUAGGAGGGUUUCCGUGGACUAGCCUAUUAGAGGGGCACGGUAAACCCUGUUAUAUUUUACCUCGGUUGGAGAGGCGAGUAGGAUAACUCCCGAGGUAUGAUUUUAGAGUUCACUUCACGCCAAACCAGCACGUGAAGGUAAGCUCGGCCAACGCCAAGGAACGGCUAUAUUUUCAAAAUGAAACAUAUUUUAUGCGUACAUGACUUUCUAAUAACCUUGGCAGACUCAAUUGGGAUAGCCCUCGACCAAGGUAUCCUAGAUAACUGAGUAUGAUAAUAAUUUUUGGCAUAAGCCAAGCUUUUUAAGAAAUUCAUAAGCCAUACUAAUUACUUGAUUUAAAUAAAUUGAUUUCAUUUGGUUGAAAUAAGCUGAAAGGUGAUAAAUUACAGUUUGAUGAAAUGUUUUAAUAGUCUCCUUUUACUCGCCUUUAGAUAUUUUAAAUGAUAUUUGUUUACUCACUAGGAUUUUAUAAUCUCACCACCCUCCUUUCCACCCAUUUCAAGUUCAGAAUAGACUGUAGAUAGCUUAUCGCAUCGAGGACUACCAUUGGAAUUGCAUUUUUCAAACUGUAGGUUCACAGUCCUCUUUGCUUUUGAAUAUUCGGGAAUCCCACUUAUUACUGUAAAUUAAAUUUCAUACUCUAGUUAUUUGUACUACUAUAUAUAGGAAUUUAUUUUGCUUUUACGUUAUGAAAAAAAAUUAUUUACGCAGUGUUCUAAAAUUAUUGUUUUAUAAGAAAAUUGAAUAUUUUACUUAAUAUUUCUUUUAUUUUUCUAUUAUAUCCAAAUAAUCAUAAUUUCAUUUUAAAUGAAGAUUUUAGACUUUUAAACUCAUUUUGAUUAUGAAUUAUGUGUUUUGUACUUGUAUAUUACAUUUUAGUCAGUUUCAAAAUUUUUGAGAAAAAUGACCAAAAUACCCCUAUGAGACGAAAAUUAUUAUUUUAUUUGUUUUAAGUUGAAAACAGUUUAAAAUCUUCUAGAACGUGGUAAUUGACAACAGUUACUCAUAGGGUAAAUGAUAAGUUGAUAUUAAAGUCUUGCAGGGUUCCGGUUGACAUUUCAGGUAAUGAGUGUCGAUCGGGGUAUCGCGGCGGUUGUCACUGGCUUGAGGGGAGUUUCGGGUCGUGACAAAGAAUGUGUCAAAAAGUUUAUUAUGGGAAUGGAUAAUGUCUCCCAAUCAGAUAAGAUAAAUCUGAUUAUUCCAUUAAAGAUUAUAUUCUUUAACGAGAUUGAGAUGAUCAAAUUAAGACUCAACCACUUUUUUAGAAGAAGAGCCAAUAAGAAGUCAAAAUGGUACUCUAAUUAAUGACAUAAGCUUGAACCUUCCACAGUUUUCUAUCUACUACAUCGUCGAGGACAAUUCUUUAGUUUUCACUCUUAAAAAUAAAGUUAGAGAUUAAAAACUCUCUUCUUCGCUACUAAAAGGUAAUGGAAAUAUUCACUAUUUCAUCUCCAAACGAUU
RNAcentral lists this long non-coding RNA (2695 nucleotides) under Theobroma cacao (cacao). Its description in RNAcentral is "long non-coding RNA (TCAC_LNC002909)". Lineage: Eukaryota; Viridiplantae; Streptophyta; Magnoliopsida; Malvales; Malvaceae. The record is from RNAcentral.